GAUGAAGAACGUAGCGAAAUGCGAUAAGUAGUGUGAAUUGCAGAAUUCAGUGAAUCAUCGAAUCUUUGAACGCACAUUGCGCACUUUGGUAUUCCUUAGGGCAUGCCUGUUCGAGCGUCAUUUAAACCUUCAAGCUAAGCUUGGUGUUGGGUGACUGUCCGCUUCACGGCGGACUCGCCUCAAAAUUAUUGGCGGCCGGUACAUUGGCUUCGAGCGCAGCAGAAACGCGAACUCGGGCCCGUCGUAUUGGCUCCCAGAAGCUAUCUUCACAAUUUUGACCUCGGAUCAGGUAGGGAUACCCGCUGAACUUAAGCAUAUCAAUAAGCGGAGGA
RNAcentral lists this unclassified non-coding RNA (332 nucleotides) under soil metagenome. Its description in RNAcentral is "partial contains 5.8S ribosomal RNA, internal transcribed spacer 2, and large subunit ribosomal RNA". The stretch from base 1 to 120 matches the Rfam family "5.8S ribosomal RNA", at positions 35 to 154 of the family's 154-position model. The record is from RNAcentral.